RNAcentral lists this ribosomal RNA (429 nucleotides) under Bacillota bacterium. RNAcentral describes it as "Firmicutes bacterium partial 16S ribosomal RNA". It matches the Rfam family "Bacterial small subunit ribosomal RNA", at positions 355 to 776 of the family's 1533-position model. Lineage: Bacteria; Bacillati; Bacillota. The record is from RNAcentral.
UAGGGAAUCUUCCACAAUGGACGCAAGUCUGAUGGAGCAACGCCGCGUGAGUGAAGAAGGUUUUCGGAUCGUAAAGCUCUGUUGUUGGUGAAGAAGGAUAGAGGCAGUAACUGGUCUUUAUUUGACGGUAAUCAACCAGAAAGUCACGGCUAACUACGUGCCAGCAGCCGCGGUAAUACGUAGGUGGCAAGCGAUGUCCGGAUUUAUUGGGCGUAAAGCGAGCGCAGGCGGAAUGAUAAGUCUGAUGUGAAAGCCCACGGCUCAACCGUGGAACUGCAUCGGAAACUGUCAUUCUUGAGUGCAGAAGAGGAGAGUGGAAUUCCAUGUGUAGCGGUGGAAUGCGUAGAUAUAUGGAAGAACACCAGUGGCGAAGGCGGCUCUCUGGUCUGCAACUGACGCUGAGGCUCGAAAGCAUGGGUAGCGAACAGG